Molecule: long non-coding RNA, 1459 nt
Organism: Dromaius novaehollandiae (emu)
Lineage: Eukaryota; Metazoa; Chordata; Aves; Casuariiformes; Dromaiidae
Exons: 2
Source: RefSeq, a predicted model, not a curated record
UAGAUGUUUUAAUUAGAGAUAAGGUCGAACAAGGCCUGGAUGAGACGACCCAGUCAUGCAGGCUUGUCACCUCCAUUGGAGCUGGCAGCCUGGGUCCCUCUUUUGUCCCGAGUUGCAGGGAAAGAGGCUCAUGACAAGGGCAGGGCAGGGCCCUCACGGAAAUGCUGGCUGAUUUGCAAACCUUCCCCGUGAGCCGUGACCUUUUUUUUUCACCUGUAACCACUAUUAGCCCAACAUGGGCACGAGGGACAGGCCCGCGAGCCCCCCAGCAAGAAGCAGCCUGUGGGGAUUCGUGCUGCAGGCGCAGCGGCGGCGUUACGUGAUGCGGCAAAGGCAGGGUGCCGGGCUCGCAGCGCUUGCCUGGCUCCGCUGCCCCGGGGCCUCCUGCUCUGGGCUCCCGCAUGCCAAACGCCUGCAGACAAAAUGACGGCAGCCUCCGGGAUGUGGGGAGGGAGGGAGGCCGCACUGGGAACGGGCUGGGAAGCAGAAGCUGGUCUUGUGCUGGGCGAUGGAGACUGAGAGCUCUGAAGACAGACCCAAAGGGUCUCCGGCACAGCUCUGCAGCCCCCGGCAUCCCCCUGCAGCCCCUUGCGCCGUUCCCUUGGCUUAGCCGGGGGAAAUCGCCCCAGCGGGGUGAGAGCUGGUGGGCGCCGCUGCGGGACGUGGUCCCCGGGUUCGGGUCUGGAGGCGCACUGGCAUGGGUGGGAGCGAGGGCGGAGGGCUGGCAGGCGUGCUCGGCGGUGACAGCGCGGGACAGGAAGGGCGGUGUGAUUGGUGAGAUGAAGCUGCGCUCCUGUGCUUGAAGCCUUGACUGCAAUUGCCACAAGCAGAUAAGAAGGCAUCGCAGCACGCUGUGCGCCUGGGACGCCGAGCCCCAACGAUGCAGCCCUUCCAGCGUGCCCACCUGCUCCUCCUGCUCGCUCUGCUCACCCUCUGCUUGCCCCUCACCUGGGUGGUCGCGACUACAGAGCCCACAACCACCUCCCACGGCGAACCCAUCAGCCUGGCCACCUCAUGCUGCGGCCCAGCCUUCACCUCCCUCGCGCUGGGCCUGGCCGCGGCUUUCCUCCUCCGGCUGUGCUGAGUCUCGGGGCUGACGGCACCCAGGCGCCCUGGCCCCGCGGAGACACUCCCAGGACGGCGGCCCUGGGCCCUCCUUGGACACUUGCAGCAAGGACCGGCCAGCAUGACGCCAUCGCUCCCGCCUGCAAGUCCCUCUCCCCGGCCAGCCGGCUGCUCCAUGCUCACUCCCCGGGCCCCAAGCGGCCCCUCCAGCCCCCCGUGCCGCGCUCCGGCUCCCCUGCGCCAGGGUGACGAUGCCAGCCGAAGGCAGCCGUGCCGGCGGGACGGACCCGUGACGCUUCGCAACGUGACGGCGAAGGUGCCCCGGCUCGGCACACUCCUGGCUCGGGAGCAGGCGUGCUGCCGAGGCUUUGAGAAAUAAAACACUGGCAUAGCG